Molecule: long non-coding RNA, 1266 nt
Organism: Syngnathus acus (greater pipefish)
Lineage: Eukaryota; Metazoa; Chordata; Actinopteri; Syngnathiformes; Syngnathidae
Exons: 5
Source: RefSeq, a predicted model, not a curated record
AUUUCUGACACCAUCACGUCGUGCUGCUACACGUGCUGCAUGCAGCGUCCAAAACUUUCACAAGCGUCAACUUGCACUUUGGACAUGCAAGCUAAAAUGUUUGCACGAGCGUCGCCAGUUAACGUCUUCUAUCACCAAUUGCAUCAAACACCAUUCUGCCGCAGGUGCGAAAUCUUCCAAAUGAGCCUCGCAUGACCGACUUUCUGUGCGAUCAAACUGGAUUCACAACUCUUUCAAUGGACUGCAUCUAAUGGUCUCAUUUCUGUCCACAGGUGUGCAGCUGCAACAGAAGAACCACGUUUACAGCAAAAAGGCAAAAAUCCCAUUUAUAAUUGCAGGACAUCAAUUAUUAAACUGACUAAAUAAUUGCCUUUUUUUUUUUUGUCUGCAGGUUUCAAAAUGGCCGACUUGCUGUCCUUUAAAGCCUGGCUUCAUGAGACGUUUGCAGGUCUACUCUUGCAAGUCGACCAAAUGCCACGUUCCUAAUCCAAACUAACUGGUAAAGCUCAAAGCUUACAAGAUUGGUUACAAGGUUACCGUGUCUUUCAGGCUAGCAAGCUGCGGUUGGAGAGAAGUCCAAUGGUGCCCUGCGCUCUUCACUGGUGAAACACAUGCACACCUACAUGUACAAAUGUUUGAAAAAAAUUAUUUCAGCAUGUGCAUUUUCUUCCUGUUUUGUCCACCAGGUGGUGCCGAAGGACAAGCUCCCUGCAGCAUGGAGCGACUGGUGAAGUAAAAGCUCCACAUUUGAACCUGUUGCAAUGACAAACUCUACUAAUCAAAGUCCUUGACCCGUUGUUUCAGGUGGUGCAGGUGAUCAGGAAACGAGGAGUCAUGAUCAACUUCCUGUCCAACAUUUUGACAGGUGACCAAACUCACCAAACUUUGCAUUAAAAACACCAACCUGCUUUUUUCUUUCUUAGUGUAGUCCAGUUUCCAGUAAGAGUUCCGUCGGACGCAGCACCUGCUGGGCGAAGAAAUUCUCCAAAACCAUGCUGAAGGCGUGGCAGUCCAGGAGAGUCUUUGCAACGUUUCAGGCACUCAGUCUGCUGUUACUCGUCUGGGAUUCAAGUGCACAAACGAGGAAAGUUCCAGUCUACAGUUACAAAUAAAAACAGUCAACUUAAAUUGUUGUCAAUGUUUCUUCUUUACAGGCAGAGGUGACAAAGUACCUGUAGCUCAAGCCAAACUGUGGCAGGCUGAAGACGAGCCCUCUGCUGUGUGGUGCACCACAGAGUACCUGCUCACAGCAGAAGCCAGAGCAAA